RNAcentral lists this ribosomal RNA (104 nucleotides) under Nicotiana sylvestris (wood tobacco). RNAcentral also lists the same sequence under 1 other name. Lineage: Eukaryota; Viridiplantae; Streptophyta; Magnoliopsida; Solanales; Solanaceae. The record is from RNAcentral.
GAAUGCGAUCAUACCAGCACUAACGCACCAGAUCCCAUCAGAACUCCGAAGUUAAGCGUGCUUGGGCGAGGGAGUGCAUAUGAUUGAGAUCAGUGAUUCAUUCG